This 190-nucleotide ribosomal RNA is filed under the name uncultured bacterium. RNAcentral's name for it is "partial 16S ribosomal RNA". It matches the Rfam family "Bacterial small subunit ribosomal RNA", at positions 338 to 525 of the family's 1533-position model. The record is from RNAcentral.
CCUACGGGAGGCAGCAGUAAGGAAUAUUGGUCAAUGGAGGCAACUCUGAACCAGCCAUGCCGCGUGCAGGAAGACAGCCCUCUGGGUCGUAAACUGCUUUUAUUCGGGAAUAAACCACAUUACGUGUAAUGUGCUGAAUGUACCGAAGGAAUAAGGAUCGGCUAACUCCGUGCCAGCAGCCGCGGUAAUA